RNAcentral lists this ribosomal RNA (253 nucleotides) under uncultured bacterium. RNAcentral's name for it is "partial 16S ribosomal RNA". It matches the Rfam family "Bacterial small subunit ribosomal RNA", at positions 524 to 776 of the family's 1533-position model. The record is from RNAcentral.
UACGUAGGCAGCGAGCGUUGUUCGGAGUUACUGGGCGUAAAGCGUGCGUAGGCGGUGUCUUAAGUUUGUUGUGAAAUCUCCCGGCUUAACCGGGAGGGUGCGGCGAAUACUGAGAUGCUGGAGUGCCGGAGAGGAUGGCGGAAUUCCCCAAGUAGAGGUGAAAUUCGUAGAUAUGGGGAGGAACACCGGUGGCGAAGGCGGCCAUCUGGACGGAUACUGACGCUGAGACGCGAAAGCGUGGGUAGCAAACAGG